Molecule: long non-coding RNA, 21848 nt
Filed under: Gossypium barbadense (sea-island cotton)
Lineage: Eukaryota; Viridiplantae; Streptophyta; Magnoliopsida; Malvales; Malvaceae
Description: long non-coding RNA (GBAR_LNC015946)
Source: RNAcentral
CAGAAACAACAAGGGCUUACAUGGUUCCUUUAGAGGGUGCUGACGGAACAAAAGCCAAAGCAGUAGCAGUCUGCCACACAGAUACAUCAGCAUGGAACCCUAAGCAUUUGGCUUUUCAAGUCCUAAAAGUUGAGCCAGGAACCAUUCCUGUCUGCCAUUUCCUUCCUCGGGAUCACAUUGUUUGGGUCCCUAAGUAAAAGUCCUGAAGAGUAGAUUCAUACACUAUAGUUUCUUCACAGUGUGCAUUAAAACAGCUUAAAGCAAUAUCCAGUUUGUUCUAUAAUAAUAUACCCACAAGUUUAGUCAUGUAAAAUCUAUCCAUGAAUCAUGUUCUUAGUAAUGGAUAAAAUGAUAUUACUUUCUGUAUCACAAGGGUUUGGUGAUAAAUGUAUUAGUAUUUUAAGUAACUUUUCAGACAUCGUAUUCCAAGUAACUUUGCGGACAUUAUGUUUCUCCAUUAGAUUACUAAUUCUCUUUCAUCACAGAUUAGCCAUCUCCACAGGAAAAUUCUCUGAAGGUAAACUAUCAUGUUCAUCACUCGAUUGCAAUCCGAGAAGAAAUUGUUUUUCCUAUGUCCCAAUAGCAGAAAAAUUUUGGACCAAUUUACAUGAUACAUAUGAGAAUUUUCUAAACAGAGUGUCAUGUCAUGUAUCUCGAAGGAUGCUAACUUAAUAUAGUAAGACCAGCAUUAAAAUCUUUUCAGAUAUGAGUAGGUUCCAAAGUACUCAAAUUUGAGCACCUGUACGGAACAAACCAUUGUGUGCACUGUGCAGCUCUUCGUGUCUGAUUCCUCCACCACUGUGAUGAGCAGCUGCAGCAUCCUCAGUGGCUAACCUCAGGCCCUUGAAAGACUUAUUCAACAGAUUAUGGUGAUAAGUCAAAUAAUUAUAAAUGAUGUCGGCUCCACGGAUCCUUUUAUUCCUGCAAUGCGGAUAAAUGCCCAAGAAUGUUUUAUAAUUAGAAAUGCCUGGAGAAACAAACAAAACCUAUUGGUUAGUUGUGUAAUAUAAUUAUAUACGUGUAUAUGUAUAUAUAGAAACAUGAUUCAUGAGGUUGCUUUAAUCAUUUUCUUCCCCAAUAAUCUGAGUUUUACUGCUCUCUAAUGAUUAUUACUAUCCAAUAAAGAAAAAUGACUUCUUAAACCAAUGUUGGUUUGCCAAAAAAAUAAUCCAACAACAAUAUUUGUUUUCUGAUCACCAAAUUGCAGUGCUGAAAUUUUUUUUAAACGAGUGGAUGACACAAAUCUCCACCAAAGCAAAUGGUUAUGAAACAAAUGGGGUCUUAAUGAAGUGGGGGCAAGGGGUGUUGUUCCAAUAGGGUCGGAAGCGUGUAAAUUAUUGUACUAAAAAAUCACACAAAGUUCAAUUCUCAGGGAAGAGAGGUGGAUCACAUGGAUCUCUUAAAUACCAAGUCUUUCCUUAGACAGAAUAUCCCUUCUAUAGUAAUUUAAUAGCACAAUUAAAUACUACUAUUAUACCCUCAAAUAUUGAAAGAAAAAUAGGACAAGAAAGAACACAAGAGUUUUAACGAGGUUCGGUAAAUUAUACCUACGUCCUCGGGCACUAACACCAGAUGAUAACUUUACUAACUUCAAAGUAUUACAAACAAAUAGAAUUCCUUAAGAAUUCUCAAAUGGGAGAAAAAGAAAACUAAGAGAGAAAGAUUGGUUGGGAUGAAUUGAAAUGAGAAAUGAGAAGGCCUAUUUAUAGUUGAGGUUCAAGGACCAAACAAUAAAUAGCCCAUUAUCUCAAGGACCAAAAAAAAAUUAUCCUUGCCACUUUUCCAAAGUUGGUGGUUGUCAUUAUUGAUUGUCUCCCAUUAAUGUUAAUGGCAACCAUUAUUAAUUGUCUUCCAUUAAUGUUAACAAUCUCCACCUUGAAGAUUUGAUUAGGAUAAUCACAUCUUCACACACUUCCUUCAACUCCCCAAAUUCGAUAAAGCUAUCUUUUGUAGUGCCUACAAAUGCGCUCUCGAGCGCCAUACACCUGAAGGUGCUCAAAUUCUCAGUAUGUUAAUCAAGUUCAAACAAUGAUUAAACUUGAUUGUUGUUACCACCUUGGUCAUCAUAUCUGCGGGAUUAUCUGCUGUCGGAAUCUUCUGAAGUAGAAUUUUUCCUUUUUCAAAGACUUCCCGCACAAAGUGAUAUCUUACGUCGAUAUGCUUGGUUCUUGAAUGAUAGACUUGAUUUUUCGCUAAAUGAAUAGCGCUCUGACUGUCACAAUAUAAACUUAUGUGACUUUGAACAACUCCUAAGUCUUUCAACAAUCCAUUAAGCCAAAUAGCCUCCUUAACAGCUUCUGUAACUGCCAUAUAUUCUGCCUUUGUAGUAGACACAGCUACUGUAGACUGUAAGGUAGACUUCCAACUCACUAGGGCUUUCGCAAGAGUAAACAGAUACCCCGUAGUUGAACGACGUUUAUCUAAAUCACCAGCAAAGUCGGAAUCAACAUAUCCAACUACAAACUGACCAAGUGCUUCAUCCUGUUCAAAAAUUAAACCAACAUCUACGAUUUUUCGAAGAUACCGUAGAAUCCAUUUCACAGCUUGCCAAUGUCCUUUUUCAGGAUCAUGCAUAUACCUGCUCACAACUCCAACAGCUUGUGAAAUGUCAGGCCUCGUACACACCAUCGCAUACAUCAAACUCCCAACUGCAUUAGCAUAUGGGACUUUCGCCAUAUAUUCUCUUUCAUCUUUAGUCUUCGGAGAUAAUUGAGCACUAAGUUUCAAAUGAGAAGCAAGUGGGGUACUUACAUGUUUUGUGUUUUCAUUUACACCAAAACAUUGUAAUACCUUUUUCAGAUAUUGCUUCUGAUUUAAACAGAGCUUGCCUCUCGGUCUAUCUCUACUUAUCUCCAUGCCGAGAAUCUUCUUGGCCUCACCUAGAUCUUUCAUCUCGAACUCUUGAUUCAACUGAGCCUUCAGCUUAUCUAUCUCAUUUUGGCUCUUCGAAGCGAUUAACAUAUCAUCAACAUACAAGAGUAGAUAAAUGAAAGAUCCGUCAUGCAGCUUCUGCAAAUAUACACAAUUGUCAUAUUUGCUUCUUGUGUACUUUUGCCUUCUCAUAAAGCUAUCAAAUCGCUUGUACCACUGCCUCGGGGAUUGCUUCAAUCCAUAUAGCGAUUUGUUAAGCUUACAAACCCAAUUUCUACCACCAGCAUCUGUGUAUCCUUCUGUCUGAGUCAUAUAGAUCUCCUCUUCUAACUCACCAUGCAAGAAAGCCGUCUUAACAUUGAGCUAGCUCCAAAUUCAACUGUGCUACCAAGGCCAACAAAAUUCUAAUGGAGGAAUGCUUCACAACAGGGGAAAAUACAUCAUUGUAGUCAAUUCCCUCCUUCUGAGCGUAGCCUUUAGCUACCAAUCUUGCCUUGUAGCGAAUAUCCUUCUUGCUAGGAGAUCCAUCUUUCUUUGCGAAUACCCACUUGCAUCCGAUUGCCCUUUUACCUUUCGGUAAUUGCGCCAACUCCCAAGUAUUGUUCUUCCGGAGAGACUGCAUUUCUUCAUCCAUGGCGCUUUUCCAUUUAUCACUUUCUAAGCUUUGCAUUGCUUCUUGAUAAGUGAUAGGAAUAUCAUCAACAACGAGAAGGGCGUAGGCCACCAUAUCAGUAAAUCGAGUAGGUUUACGAAUUUCUCUCCGUGGCCUUGCAACUGCAACUGGUUCUGGUGUACUUAGUGGUUCUUGGGUCAGAACCUCUUCAACCUCUAAUUCCUCCAUUGUGGCUGGAGAAUUAGACUUAUUGACUGGGCAAAUCCCCAUCUGCUCAAACUCCACCUGUUUUGGAGUACACUCCACCUGCUGUGGAGUAUUGCUCGUCUGAAUAUCUUUAUCUGCUACCUUUUUCAAUGUGGCAGAUUCAUCAAAGGUAACAUCUCUGCUACAAAUCAUUUUCUUUGUGCUUAAGCACCAAAGACGAAAUCCCUUCACUCCAGAAGUGAUUCCUAUAAAGAGAGCUUUCUUUGCCCUCGGAUCUAAUUUUGACUCCUUUACAUGGUAAUAUGUAGUGGUUCCAAACACAUGUAAGGAAUCAUAAUCUGUAGCCGGUUUUCCAGACCAUACCUCCAUAGGAGUUUUUCUUUCUAAUGCAGAUGAUGGCAAACGAUUAACAAGAUGGCCAGCGUAUGUCACAGCCUCAGCCCAAAAUUGCUUGCCCAACCCAGCAUUGGACAACAUACAUCGAACUUUCUCCAGCAAUGUUCGAUUCAUACACUCUGCCAAUCCAUUCUACUGUGGUGUAUCCCUAACUGUGAAGUGUCGAACAAUACCAUACUCUUGGCACACAUCGAAGAACGGAUCACUUUUAUAUUCCCCUCCAUUGUCCAUCCUAAGCCGCUUGAUUUUCUUGCCAGUCUGGUUUUCGAUCAUAGUUUUCCAUUUAAGAAAAACUCUAAGCACUUCAUCCUUAGUUCUCAUGGUAUACACCCAAACUCUUCUGGAAAAGUCAUCAACAAAAGUAACAAAGUAGUGUUUUCCUCCCAAUGAACGUGUCUUGGAAGGCGCCCACACAUCUGAGUGAACAUAUUCCAAAAUACCUUUUGUAUUAUGGAUAACAGUACCGAAUUUCACUCUCUUUUGCUUUCCCAGAACACAAUGCUCGCAAAAUUUUAAUUUGCAAGCCUUUGCACCUUUCAACAAUCCUUGCUUUGCCAGAAUUUGCAAGGAUUUUUCGCUGGCAUGUCCCAACUUCAUAUGCCACAACUGUAUUGAGUCCAAUUCUUUGUUGCCGGAAGCUGCAGCGACUGCUCCAAUAACUGUACUACCUUGGUAGUAAUACAAGUUAUUUUUCCUGAUGCCCUUCAAUAUCACAAGUGCGCCAGAUGUCACUUUCAAAACCCCAUCUCUCAUAGUAACAACUGAACCAUUGGAUUCCAAGGCUCCCAAUGAGAUGAGAUUUUUCUUCAAACUGGGCACGUACCGAACAUCAGUCAGAACUCUGGUUGAUCCAUCUUUAUUCUUUAAUUGGAUUGAACCUAUCCCAACAGUUUUACAGGCAUUGUCAUUGCCCAUAUAAACAACUCCUCCAUUUAGUUCUACUAAAUCAGAGAACCACUCCCGGUUAGGGGACAUAUGAUAGGUACAACCCGAAUCCAAUAUCCACUCAUCUGAAUGGAACGACGAUGAUGAUGCAACCAGUGAUAGUUCAGAGUCACUAGUAUCAUGCUUAGCAACACAAGCAUCUAUAGCAGCUUUUCCCUUAUUCUUCAGCUUUGGACAAUUUUUAUUCCAGUGGCCUUUCUCAUGAUAAAAAGCACAUUCAUCUUUCCCAAGUCUGGACUUUGACUUUGAUCUCCCCUUUUGAGUUUUCUUCCGAGUGUAUGAACGACCUCGGACUACUAAAGCUUCUGUAUCUCUGAUUGAGUUUUUCUGUUUGUCCUUCUUUCUCUGUUCAUAACUGUAUAAGGCCGCACAGACUUCGCUCAGAGAUAUAUCACUCCUGCCAUGAAGUUGAGUAGUUUCUAGGAACUCAAACUCCUCAGGAAGUGACCCCAACAGCAUCAAAGCCAAAUCUUCAUCUUUGAAUGUCUCAUCCAUAUUCAACAAAUCAGUGACUAACUGAUUAAAUUUGGUGAUGUGAUCAUUCAUUGUGGUACUUGGGACGUAUGUGAAGCGAAAUAGUCUUUUCUUCAAGUGGAGCUUAUUUUGACUGUUUUUCUUCAAAAAAAAUUUUUCAAGUGCCACCCACAACUUAUUUGCAGAAGUCUCCUUUGAAAAAGCAUACCUCUGCUCUCGAGAAAGGCAUGAUCGAAUUGUGCCACAUGCCAACCGAUUGAUUGCCUUCCAAUCUUUCUCCUAUACAUCAUCUGGUUUCUCUUCAUCAAUGGCAAUGUCUAGACCCUGCUGAAAAAGGGCAUCUAGAACAUCACUUUGCCACAUACCAAAAUGGCCCGUACCAUCAAAGAUCUCCACGGCCAAUCUUGCAUUUGCAAUUGUCGGUCUUGUCCACAUGGACGAUGUUGAAGCUCCUACACUGACCGUUUUCUCCAUAAUCUUUCAAUAUACCUAAGGAAAUCUUUUCUGAUGUGGAAGAUCAGUUUAAACUGCAACCACAGAGCAUACUACGAUUAACCUUCGGCUCUUGAUACCACUUGUUGUUCCAAUAGGGUCGGAAGCGUGUAAAUUAUUGUACUAAAAAAUCACACAAAGUUCAAUUCCCAGGGAAGAGAGGUGGAUCACAUGGAUCUCUUAAAUACCAAGUCUUUCCUUAGACAGAAUAUCCCUUCUAUAGUAAUUUAAUAGCACAAUUAAAUACUACUAUUAUACCCUCAAAUAUUGAAAGAAAAAUAGGACAAGAAAGAACACAAGAGUUUUAACGAGGUUCGGUAAAUUAUACCUACGUCCUCGGGCACUAACACCAGAUGAUAACUUUACUAACUUCAAAGUAUUACAAACAAAUAGAAUUCCUUAAGAAUUCUCAAAUGGGAGAAAAAGAAAACUAAGAGAGAAAGAUUGGUUGGGAUGAAUUGAAAUGAGAAAUGAGAAGGCCUAUUUAUAGUUGAGGUUCAAGGACCAAACAAUAAAUAGCCCAUUAUCUCAAGGACCAAAAAAAAAUUAUCCUUGCCACUUUUCCAAAGUUGGUGGUUGUCAUUAUUGAUUGUCUCCCAUUAAUGUUAAUGGCAACCAUUAUUAAUUGUCUUCCAUUAAUGUUAACAAGGGGUGUCUUCAGAUGCAUAUGAAUUUGGUUUACAGGCGAGAUAGAUCACAAAUAUUAUAUUGAUAAAAAAAAUUGAUAUCGUUCGUGGAAAAUCAUUAGUGGAAUGAAGGAGUUAAAGUUCACAUGUUAUUCAUAGAAUGAAUUGAAAGAGUUGAGAGUUUUGAGAGAGAAUUUCAGAAAAAUAAUAAGUGGGAUGUGCAUGUUUUUCUAGAUUAUUUGAAGGCAUGUACGUAAUUAUGCACAACUUAUGGAAUAUAAGUGUUUUAUAUGUAUAAUAUAUUUAUUAAGUUACGAUGAAUCCUUUCACACGUUACUUUUAAAGUUAUGUAAAGUCUUAUUUUUAUAAGUAGUUUUAAGUUAAUAUUAAUGUGAUUGGACGAGACCCACAUAUUGAACAUAUAAAAAAAGUAUCGAUAAUCAUGUAAAAUAAAAUGUAAUCUUCAAAGUAAGUGAAUUUUUUUAAUCAAAAUGGAUUGACUUGACGAAAUUUUUUAAAACGAAAUAAAUAAAUAUCAUCUUACAUAUAUUUAUAUAUGUGUGCAAUAUACAUAAAUGUACCCUUAGCCCACCAAAACUUUCUUUCGCAAAUUUUAGACGGCGAACCAAAACCAAGGUACCUAACCACGUCCUACAAACCAGAUGUUCGUAUAGGUUAGAUGCAGGAUUAAGAAGCCACAACCUAUAAGGCUAAAACUUGCCACAUGCCCAUAUGACAUCUUACUUUCAAAAAAAAGAAAAAACAUGACAUUCAACUCAAAUCCUAUACAAAUACCUUUAUUUGUAAGAAGAAAUUUUCUCAUUUAUUGACUAUAAUUAUUAGAUUUUACAAGUAAAAUUUACAAAGUGGCACAGAUAUUUAGUCCAAUGAUAAAUCCGCUUUAUAGAUGAAAAGUAUAAAAAAUUAUAUAUUUUUCUUUUAAAUGAAAGCUAAAUUAAAAAAAAAACAAUUAUAUGGCUGAUUGUUUUUAUUGUAUUUUAAAAAAAGUUAAGUGAGUAGGUUUUUUACCCUGUGAUUCCCAAAAAAAAUGUUGUCAUCGAGGAUUGUUACCUAUACACAGAUAAAUUCAAGGAAAACUAUUUCAUGCAAGCUAAUCAUAUUUAAAAGCAAGCAAAGGGUCGUAAACAUUGUAGAUUGGAGCAUUUCAUGAAACAUAGUUACAAGCUAGAGUAUCAUCCCAUGACCCAUAGCAGUCUUCUAUAUUAUUGGGUUUUUGCAAACUUGGGCUUGAAUACACAAAUAGAAUAUAAUCACAGAAAACUUUGUUUUUUGUGUAUUGAAUUUGGGUUUAUGCUUCAUUUUAUUAUCGACAAUGAUAUCAGAACCUAUUUUAAAUCCAACAUCAUGACGAUUUGAUUUUUAUUUGUUUAAUAAUAUUUUGUCCCCUAACUAAUUGGCAAUUGAAAACUUCUACCCUUUGUAUGCAUGAUUAGUUUAGAAAUUUUGUGCAUAAUUAUCAAGCAACGUCGUGAUUACAAUUCUUGAACUCGAUUCCAUGAUAAGGAGUUCAAAUUUUAAAGUCGACCAAAGCAAGUUAGUAUCUUUCACUCUUUUAACAUAUAUUUCCAACUUCAUAUAUAAACAUUUAUUUAUACUCAUGGUUUAGAAACAGGGCUGAAAAAACUCUCUUGAAAGCAGAUACCAUUGGCGGCAGCCAUGGGUUUAUGUGAAGAAGAAAAGAUGCCUCUAUCUCUAUGAGUAGAAUUAUUGCAGUGGGUCACACCUUCGCUUUCAUUUACUUCAACUUCUCAGGUAAUAUUCCAACAUUACAGCGUUGAAUUGUUUGCAAAUUUAUUUACCUCAUAUUCCCACUUUCUUUGAUCUCUCCUUGUCCCAACCACGUUGGAUUUUGAACCAUUUGGUCUUAUAUUACAUAACAUACAAAUGAAAAGAAAAGAAAAACAUUUGCGAUUCCGACCAUAAAUAAAUAAUGUUCUGUUCUGUAACGAGAAACAGCCAAAGCUUCCAGCACUUACAAUAAUAAUAAAAGUAAUGAGGGUAAAGGCUUCAAAGUUUUUUUUUUUUUUGUUUUUUUUUAAAUAAAGGAUAAGGAGUAAGGAUUAUCUUAUGAUCCAACUUAGCAUUAGUGUUUAAUUGAAAAUUUAAAUACAAUAACUUCAAGAUAGAGUACAGUGUCCGUGUGGUGUUUGUUUUUCUACCUUCCCUGCAGGAUCCGAAACUUCCAAUUCAAGUUUCUUGCUAUAGAUAAGGUGUUUCGUAAGAAAACGUAAGUCUUAAAAGAGUUACAAGACAGCACCAGUUAUAUGGCCCUUGCUAGAUUCAUAGUUACUUUCCCAUGUACCGACUCUAAAGUGAAUGACUUUUUUUUUUCUUUGCAUAGCACUUUUUUUUUCCCCGAAAAGGAUAGGUAUCAAAAUGAUAUAUGUAUUUUAGGGCCAACACUCAGAACCACUUUUUGACCACUCAUAGUUUAGUUAAAAUCAAAUUUCGUUCUGUCUUUUGACACACUAUUUUCUCUGUCUAUUGAAAUGCUCUUCUGCUGUUGUUAGCACGCUUUCGUCUCUUGUUUUGCUUGUUGUUUAUUUUCUUUGAUUUAGUCAUUAUUGUAGUUAAGAACAUUGAUGAUUCUAUAGCAGACCUGUCACUGGAGUAUGAUGAAGAUGAAACCAUUCAAUUAGGGGCCGAAUCUUCAGAGAGUGAAACCUUGUAUGCUAAUUGUUUUGUAGGAAUGUUUCUUACCUCCAGUGUAGUUAAUUUCCAAGCGAUGAGAUUGACUUUGGCUAAUUUUUGGCAUCCAAUAGAGGGAGUCUCAAUCUCGAAUCUAGGCAAUGAAAGAUUCUUAUUCAAAUUUUAUUUUGAAGUUGACGUGGACAAAGUUGAAAAAAAUGGGUCAUGGAAUUUCAACUCUCAUCUAUUGGUGCUACAUCGGUUAAAGGAAGAGGAAGACCCUUUAUCUGUUCAAUUAAAUUGGGUAGACUUUUGGAUGCUUAUCCAUGAUCUUCCCCUUGGUUUCAUGUCUGAAGCGGUUGCUAGACAGUUGGAUAGUUUUAUUGGUGUUUUCCUUGAAUAUGAUGCAUCAACGACUCAGUUGGGUUAUAAAAGAAUAAUGAUGUUAAAUGUGCGAAUUGAUGUUAGAAAACCAUUGAAAAAGAAGAAGAAACUCACCUCUCGAAUGGUGAGUGGAUUUAUGUUCGAUUUGAAUAUGAAAAACUCAUUUUAUUUUGUUUCCUUUGUGGUAAACUAAGGCAUGGUAAAACUUUUUACCCGAUCAGAGCUCACAAUCCGCUACAAGAGUAUGUUUUCCGUUGGGAUAUAUCUUUACGUGCUCAGUUAAGGAAAAAUUUGGCUUGGAAGAGUAGAUGGUUGGUGGAGGAUGACGAUUGUGGUACUUUAAUUUAUGGAAACUAUAACACCCCUAACCCUUAUCCGUCGCCGGAACAGGGUUACAAAACAUUACCAGACUUUACAGAUUAAAUAUGAACAUUUCACAACUUUUAUUAUACAUGUUAAGAAUCAGUUAUAAAACACUCAUGUUGUCCCUUAGAUGGACCCUCAAGGCACAAUAUACACUUUAGAAAUGAAUUGGGACUAAACCGGAUACUUAGAGAAUUUUUCCUAAAAUCUCAAAAAAAUUUCUUAAAAGUAGGGGACACACGUCUGUGUGGCUCACACAGCCAGGAGACACACCCGUGUCUUAAGCCGUGUAGGCAUUCGAUGUGAGGCACACAACCGUGUCUCAGCCCGUGCCCUUACCCGUGUAACUCUCUGACUUGGGUCACACGGCCAUCCACAUGCCCGUAUGCUAGGCCGUGUGCAAGAUGUAAAGGUCACACAGCCAAGCCACACACCCGUGUGCUAAGCCGUGUGUAAAAACUUGAGCAUUCUGUUUUAAAAUUUUAAGGUGCAGGGGACACACGGCCAGACCAUACGCCCAUGUGUCAGGCCGUGUGGACGAAAAUAGACCAUUUUCAAUACAUCAAAUAGCCCCAAUCAAACAAUCAACACAAGCCAAAAAUCAUGUUUUAAACAUAAUAUAUCAUCACAAAACUCAAUUGCCAAAACUUACCAAAAUAACUCCGUUCAUUGAUUUACCAAAAUCUACUACUAAAUAUAUGCAUACUAACACAUAUAUAUGUCAUUCACAACCAUACUUCAAAUUUAGCUCUUUUCUAACUCGGCCCUAUACAUGUCAUAUAAACCAUAAAAUGUAUAACAAAAUCUACUGGAGCAAACUAGAUAGUGUGGCUCUAUGUGUUGAUCCGAUGCUUUAAACUUCUUAAAAAUCUAAAAAGAACAUUAAACGACACAGUAAGUUUAAUGAAGCUUAGCAAGUUCGCUGGCUUUAAAUAUAAAUCUUACCGAACAUACUAUAAUAAUUUAUUUAGGUAAAUUAUUUCACAAACAUUUCCUGCCAAUCACAACUUCAAUUAAUGAAUUCACUCAUUUGAGCUCAAUAUCAAUAAUAACUUAAAUUCUUCCACAUUAAUUCCAUUUGGCACUUACCAAUCAUUAUCAAACCAGAGAACGUCUUACGGAUUUGAGUACAUCGUAAAUAGAAAUCCAUAAGGGUUCAUCUAAAGCUCAAAAGAGUUAAACGGAAACCCAUUAGGGUUAAAUUGAAGCUCAAAAGAGCUAAACUGAAAUCCAGAAGCGUUAAUUUGAAACUCAUGAGUUUACUGAAGCUCGUGAGAGCUAAACGGAAAGCAAAUACGAGAGUUCGCAACAAAUGUUGAACAUCGGUUUACUUGGGUAAUUUUACCGUCAAUUCCUAUUUUGCACUAAACGACUAUACUCAAUCCUACGUUCCAUUCACUUCAAACACUUGAUGCAAUUUCAUAAAUUUAACAAUAAUUUUAUUUUCAACAAAUGUUACGAAUAAAUACAAAAAAUCAUUCAUCAAUUAACAUAUCACAUUAAAUUUUAACCAUUAGAACUUACCUGGGUUAAAUUGUGGAAAUUGUAAUGGUUCAGAGAUUAUUUGGCUAUUUUCCCAUUUUUCGCGUUGGUCUAAGGGCUCUUGAUCUAAAAUAUAAAAUUAUUAAUUCAUUAGCACAUGCUUCAAUUCUAAUUCACUUCACAAUUUAUACCACUCAAUUUUUGAAAUUAUACAAUUACCUCAACUUUUACAGUUUUUGUAAUUUAGUCCAUCGCCAAUUAACUCAUCAAAUAAGCUAAUUUUUCUCAAGUAACACUUUAUCUAAAUAUUUUAAACUAUUACACAGCCUUUGAUAAACAUAAUUUAAUACUAAACCCUAAGAUUUAAUUUUUUUACAAUUUGGUCCUAAAAUCAAUUUCCCUUGAAAGCACUUGAUAAAAUCAUCAUAUAACAAAAUUAAAACUUCAAAUCCAUGUUAAUUCAUCAUAAAAAUGCAGCACUCAUCAAUGGUAGCUUUCAAGAUUACUCAUAAAAUCAAAAACUAAUGAAUUAGAUAGUUAGACCUAAUUACAGAAGUCUUAAAAACACAAAUUUUAAGAAAAGAGCAAGAAUUGAACUCACAUGUAGCAAAAUAUGAAAUCCAACUUCUUAAGGGUUCUUCAAUGGUGUUUUUAGCUGAUAAAUUGAAGAAGAAUAACUUAGAAAAGUUGAGAAUUCAAUUUAUUUAAGUUUAUUUCACAAAAUUUACAAUUUUGCCCUUUAAUCACAUGAUUUUUGUUUUCUUUUCUGCUUAUGCCGCCUCAGGCCUUUGUUUUAGGCAUAAUUGCUCCUUAAGUCCUUCUUUGUUCAUUAAUUAAGUCAUUUAAUCAUUAUUUCUUUAAUUAGCAAGUUUUGCACCUUUUUCUAAUUUAAUCUUUUUUAAUUAAUUAACUAUCGAAACGUUAAAAUUUUCUAACGAAAUAUUUAUAAAAAUAUUUACAGCUCAGUUUAUAAAAUCGAGAUCUUGAUACCUCGUUUUCAAAACUAGUUAAUCUAACAAAUAUUUCUAAAGCAUAAAUCACUAAUUCAUAAGCCUUCUUAAAUUCAGAAUCGAAUCAAAAACACUAUAUAAUAAAAUUUAUGAAUUAAUUUAUCGGAUUUAGUGUUCUCAAACUACUAUUUUCGAAACUACUGAAAAUUGGACUGUUACAAAAACUCUAUAAAAAUACGGAAAGGAGAAAUUUUGAGGUUUCAUAAUCUGUUUGCAUAAAUCAAUGAGCAAAUUCAGAAUUUAUUUCCAAUUAUUCCCUCUCAACAAAAGGAAUGGUGAAUGUCUAGUUGACUUCAAGCCCAAUAAAUAUGGGUGAAAUGGGUCGAGCUUACAACGAAGCUAGGAACAUCUUUGAUGCGAAUAUGGCAAUUUAUGAGGAGGAGAAUAACCCAAUAAAAUAAAGUGAUGGGCUAAAAAGACCUUUUUUUAAGUCUACUUCAGGAGUUUCUAAUAAGGAAGAUUUGAAUGAAGUUUCGGGUACUCUAUUACAGGUACCAAAUUCUAGUAGAUCGCCAGGCCCUGCUAAGUGGGCUAGUCGGAUGCAAUGAAGCUGUUGAGUUGGAACAUUCAGGUAAAGGGGAGGUCUUGGACAGUUUGUUGUCUCCAGCAUAUGCUGAGAGAUAUAAAUCUCUCUAUAGUGUUCCUAAUUGAGAUGAAACUAUAGGGUUUUAAUAUGGAAGGAACAAGACGCAAAUGUGGAUUUCUUAAUGGGAUGGAUGUUGAUUCAUAUGGUAGAAGUGAGGGUUUAUCAAUGGGUUGGAGUAGCGAUUAUAAGAUUUGUCUUCGGUCUUUUUCGAGAAGGGACAUUGGCAUUAUGAUUGAUAAGGAUACUGAUGGUAAAACUUGGUGAUGUACGGGGUUUUAUGAAGUGCCCGAGGAGAAUCUGAGGAGGCAUCGUAAAAUUUAUUGCAUUCUUUAGAUGACUGCCCACAUAUCCCUAUGUUUGUAAUAGGGGAUUUUAAUGAAAUAGCUUAUUCAUCUGAAAAGAAAGGUGGAUUACUUCAGAGGGAGAGACAAAUGAGAAGAUUUUGGGAAGCUCUUUAUGAUUGCUCUCUUACAGAUUUGGGCUAUAGAGGACAAUGGUUUACCUGGGAAAAAGGUCGUACUCGAGCAAACAAUAUUAGGAAACGUUUGGAUCAAAGGGUAGCUAAUGCAGUUUGAUGGGAUUUAUUUCAAAAUUACAAAAUGCAUCAUCUCACGCAUUCUUUUUUAUUGCAAUCAGAUUUUGAAAAUAAUCAUGCGAAAUGGUGUCACUUCAAGUUCGAGGUUGCGUGGCUUUUGGAAGAAACGUGUGAGUCAAAUGUUCUAAAAUUAUAGACUGAAAAUUUGGGUGAUGUCCUUAAUAGAUUGAAGGUGUUUGGUGUGGGCCUUAAAGCGUGGUUCAAAAGGAUUAAAAAGAUAGGGGUUUGUCGAAAAAAGAUCUUAAGAAGCAAUUCAUUAAGUUGAACAAAUCAUACCUAACUGAUGAGGUGUUGGGUGAUAUUGUUGAGAUAAAACUAGCCCUUAAUAUGGAGGCCGGUAGGGAGGAACUCUACUGGGAACAAAGAGCCAGAGCUAAUUGGAUGAAAAAUGGUGACCGAAACACAAAAAUUGCAACAAAAAGAAGACGAAGGAAUAUGAUGGAUAAACUACUAGAUUUUGAUGAAAAUUAUUAUAAGAGCAAUGAGGAGCAGUUGUCACUUGCCACUGACUACUUUGCCUCUCUAUUCACUUCAACUAGAAUCGAAAAUCCAGGUUCUAUAUUAGAAGGGGUUGAGCCGUGCAUUACUCGAGCAAUGAACGAGGAACUUGCAAAGGAUUUUUCUUACGAGGAUAUUUGUAUGGCGUUAAAAUCAUGAAUACAUUAAAGACUUCUGGUGAGGAUGACUUGGGUGCAAUUUUUUAUCAAUGGUUUUGGCAUAUUAUGGGUAAAGAGGUAGCAAAUUAUUGUAUUGAGAUUUUAAAUGGAGGCACAAUAUCGCUGAAAUCAACCAGACACAAAUUGUUUUAAUCCCUAAGGUUAGCUGUCCAUGAAUUAUGGCUCUAUUUAAACCGAUUAGCCGUUAUAAUACCCUUUACAAAAUUAUUGCAAAAAUGCUAGUGAAUAGGUUUUAAAAAGUCUUUCACUAUUGUAUAGAUGAGGUACAAAGUGCAUUUGUACCAGGGAGGCUUAUCACUGAUAAUAUUUUAGUUGUCUAUGACGUUUUACACUCCAUGAAAAAGAAAAAGAAAAAGAUAAGAGAUGAAGGGUCUUUUGCUUUGAAGCUUAACAUGAGUAAAACGUAUAAUAGACUAAAGUGUGCGCUCAUUAAUGUCAUGCUUAGCCGAAUGAGUUUCUCGAAGUUGUGGGUUCAGAAAAUUAUGAGAUGUAUUGAAAUGAUUUCUUAUUCUGUGGUUAUGAGCGGAGAGGUGGGUAAUUUGUUUCUUCCUUAUCGGGGGCUUAAACAAGGGGGCCCACUUAAUCCUUAUUUAUUUCUUAUUUGGGGAAGGUCUGUCAUCUUUUCUUAGAAUGGCUGCUACAAGUGGGGAUCUCAAGGGUGCUUGCAUUAAGAGACACGCUCCAGUUAGCACCCACUUGUUAUCUUUGCAAAUGACAGUCUUAUCUUUGGAAAGGCCACAACAGAUGGGGCUAUGGUGCUUAAUGAAAGACUGGAGAUUUAUGCCAAUAGUUUGGGUCAAUUAAUAAUUUUUGAUAAGUCUGGUAUGUUUUUAGUUCCAAUGUUGAGUAGAAUAGCAAAAAAGAGGUUUAUCGAAUUUUAGGGGUUAAUCCAAACAUUAAUCCAGAAAAGUAUAUUGGUCUCCUUUAAAUCGUGGGGCAAAACAAAAAGAGGGCUUUUAGGGAGAUAAAAGAAAAUCUAAUUAAAAGAGUGUUUAGUUAGAGUUCGAGAAUGCUUUCGGUGGGUAUAAAAGAGGCCCUUAUCAAAAUAGUAUUUCAGGGAGUUCCCAUGUAUACCAUUUCUUAUUUCUUGAUGCCCAAUUCCUUUUGUAAGGAACUUGAAACUGUUAUUGCUAGAUUUUGGUGACAGAAGAAAGCUGGGAGGAAUGGUUUACAUUGGAGUUCUUGGAAACCAUUGUGUAUUCCAAAAGAGGAUAAAGGUAUGGGUUUCCGUAAUCUUUCUAAAUUUAAUAUUUCUUUAUUAGCAAAACAAUGUUAGAGAUUGAUGGAAAAUCCAGGCUCGUUAACAAGAUUAAUUCGAGAAAAAUAUUAUCACGGUUUAAAUUUUCUAGAAGCCCCAUUGGGCUCAUACCCGUCCCUAAUUUGGAAAAGUAUAUGGUGUUCCAAAGCUUUGUUAAAAUCUGGUAUUGGAUGAAGGAUUGGUUCUGGGCUAUCUAUCUUGAUAUGGCAAGACUAUUGGUUACCGAGGAAGAAUAGAGCACUAAUUACUACAAACAAGGUAGCAAGAUUGGAAUGUGUAAGUGAUUUGAUUCUCCCAAACCCAAAUAGAAGAGAUCGACAAUUAAUCUACUCAACUUUCACGGAGGAAGAAGGAAAUUUGAUUGUAAGAAUCCCUAUACCUAUCACUAAUCAAUCUGAUAAAGUAAUAUGGUCUAGAGAAAAAUCAGGUUUUUAUUCAGUAAAAAGCAGUCACAAAGCCUUCAUCGAACUUCUCAUUUGAGUACUAUUGAGCAAUAUAAUUUUAAGCAAAUUUGGAGUUUAACGUGCCUAUCAAAAAUUCACAUUUUAAUGUGAAAAUUUGCAAAUAUAUAUAUUCCUACUUUCCAGAAUUUGCAUUAUAGAAGAAUUUUGUCAGAGAAUAGUUACCCGCGCUGUCAGGAUUGUAGUAAAUCACAUGUUCAUGUUGCUCGAUACUGUGCAUUCACUAUGCAUGUUUGAUCAAAAUUAAAUUAUCAGUGGCCAAGUUCAAUGCGUCUAUGAGUUUUAACAACUGGUUAAACUGGCUAUUCAUAAAUUCAUCCAGUAACAGUAAAGGGGAAAUAGCCAUUACAAUUUGGGCAAUCUGAUUUUCCCGCAACAAACUGAUACAUGAAAGAAAAGUACAAAGUGUGGAGGAAGUUGUUACCUUUAUCAGGGGUUAUGGCAGGGAGUACAAGAGGCGUUUUGGAAUAUUACAACACCCCUGACCCAGAUAGUUGAUAAAAUGGGAGCCCCCCCUACGAAUUGGGUCAAAGUGAAUGUUGACGUCGGUUUCUCAGAGGCAAAACAACAUGCAACAUUGGGUUUCUUAAUUAGAAAUGAUGAAGGUCUUAAAAUAGGGUCGGGAAUCAGAACUCAUAACCUAGUUAGAUCGGUGGUGUUGGCUAAAGCGAUGGCUGCUCUUCACGGGCUCUAGUUUGCGUUGGAGAUGGGUUUCACGAAAAUUAUUUUGGAAAGUGACUCUAAAACAAUUAUUAAAAACCUCCAAGCAACAAAGGAAGACUAUUCAGAGAUAAGACCGAUUACUUGGGAUGUGAAGGCUCUUACAAUGAAAUUUUCUUCAUGUCAUUUUGAGUUCGUUGCGGGAGAAGGUAACGCAGUGGCGCAUGCGAUGGCGGUCGAAGGGAUGAGAAGAUCAGAAGACUCGUUCUGGGUUGAAGAUGCCCUAUUAAAAGCGAUGGAAAUGGCAGAUUUGGAUCGUCUUUUCAUCUGGCCACCAUAAUUUCCCUCCUCUGCUGCUCGCUGCUCUGGGUUGAGAACUUCUGAUAUUCUAAAGGUAUAUCUCAACUCCCUUCCAUUGUUUGCUAGUUCUGAUUACCAGAUCUCGCAAGGUUUUGGCUGUUUGGGUUUUCUGGUCACUGAAGGGUUUGGAAGAAGCUUCUAGAGUUGCAUCAUGUUUUAUUUUCUUUAUUUUAUCUGUUUGAACUUCAUUUUCUAUCUGCUUUUGUUUUGGACUUCCAAGCCCAUUUUAAUCAAAAUGAACCGUUUAUUCAAAAAAAAAAAUAACUUUUUGACAAAAAAAAUACUUUUAAGCAAAAGCUAAAAAUUUUUAGUUUUGCUUUUGAUAAAAAAAAUAAUUUUGUAAAAUAUUUUUUUAUCUCAAAAAUAUUUUUAAAAAGCUCAAAAGUAUAUUGUUUAGUAAUAUUUUCAAAUCAAAAGUAUUUUUUGUCUCAAAAAUACUUUUGAAAAGUAAUACUAAUCAGACUCAAAAGUAAUUACGAUUUUUUUGUGUCCUUAGACACCGAUAGACACUCAAUUUGAUUGUUGGAACUGAAAAAAAAAGAAGUGUUACUUUCAUGUAUUUUCCAAUUAUUAUAUAUAAGGAGAUGGUAGUGAAACACUUUUUUUUCUCAAUUAAAAAAAAAAUUUAAGUGAGUAGUUUAUGGGAGAGUGAGUAGUUUUCUUUUUAGAUCUGACUUUUUUAAAGGUUGGAAUUAAUGAAUAUAAAAGUAAAAAGAUUGGUAAAUAUUGAUUAUUUACUGUUUUGUUCUACAUUUUCUUGAUUUAUAUUAACUUUUAAAGAGAUUUUAGUAACGUCAGUUAAGACCAUAAACUUAAUCAGAAAUAGUAAAAAACUUUAUGGCAGAAAAAAGUAAAAAAUAACUAAAAAAGAAAAAGGGAACUAAAAUAUGAUAACCUCUUAAUCCACUAAUGAAAUAAAAAUUUCACUAUUUAUAAUCUACUUCCCUUUUCCGGGCCAGUGUUUCAAACUAGAAACUUCUUUGGGUCAUCUUCAUAUUAGAUUGAAGCCCGAUUUUAGGUUUAUGUACCAAAACCAAAAAUUAGUUAUGUUUGGUAAAUGAAUUUGAAUACAUGCACCACCACUCUCAAUGCUCACCCACCUAAGCCCAUGACAUAAACUGCAUUUAAGUGAACCAGUGGCAGUUGGAGCCAUUAUGUUGGUUGAAAAAUAUUGUUGGCAGUGUUAUUCAGCAGUACUUGUUCUAAGGCUCCUACUACAUUUCUCAUUAUAAAUGUGGAGAAAUCUUGUUCUACUUUCCAUUCCAUGCAACACUAACUUUUAGAUUCCCUUUCCAUUGCACUGCUCUUUCUUUCUAUAGAAUUAGUCACUCCUGUUCUAGAUGAAGGUUCUCUCCCCAAUUCUUGCUUGCCUAGCGGUAAGUUUUUCGAUUUCAUGUGAUUAUUCGUUGUUGAAUGCAAAGAACUAUGAAGGGUUUUUUUUUACCUCAACUUUUCUUGUUUGUUAUUUGUUGUUACAGCUUGCUGUGGUGGUAAGCCAUGCUGCUCUCUCACCUGAGCAAUAUUGGAGCUAUAAGCUGCCAAAUACUCCAAUGCCAAAGGCUGUCAAAGAAAUUCUACAUCCAGGUGAGUGUUUAAUAUCCCAAGAAUUCUUUUUUUUUUUUUUGAAUCAUGUUUACUCACCGACAAAACAGGACUACUGUGAUAUAAGCCCUCAACUUGAGAUGGUCAGGAAAGUGAGGACUGUAGAAUAUCAGACCCUGGUUUCCCAUAGAAUUGAAUUGAGCCUAAUGCAGCAAACAAUCAUGUAAUCGUGGAAGCCGGGUAAUAAUCAGAAAUGAGGUGCUUAACAUAGUUCUGUUCCUGCAAUUUAUUAAAAGAGAAAGAGCCAGGAUACUUUCUGUUUAGCAAUAUAUUUCAGAAAACAUAGGAAUAGGAUGUGUUCUGCACAUAUUGACUUAUUAUGAAAAAAAUUGUUGGAAUCAUGCAUUCAUCAGCAUGUAUAUGAGCUCUCUAGCCCAUUUUGGUGUAUUUGCAGAACUGAUGGAGGAGAAAAGCACCUCUGUAAAUGUAGGAGGUGGUGGUGUAAACGUCAAUACAGGAAAAGGGAAGCCUGGGGGUGACACCCAUGUGAACGUUGGAGGCAAAGGAGUUGGAGUGAACACGGGAAAGCCAGGGGGUGGCACUCAUGUGAAUGUUGGAGACCCUUUUAAUUACCUAUAUGCAGCCAGUGAAACUCAAAUCCAUGAAGACCCGAAUGUGGCUCUUUUCUUUCUGGAAAAGGAUAUGCACCCCGGGGCAACAAUGAGCCUGCAUUUCACUGAAAAUACAGAGAAAUCAGCUUUCUUACCUUAUCAAACUGCCCAAAAAAUACCGUUUUCAUCUGACAAGUUGCCAGAAAUUUUCAACAAGUUUUCAGUGAAACCUGGAUCACUGAAGGCAGAGAUGAUGAAGAACACAAUUAAGGAGUGCGAACAGCCAGCGAUUGAAGGAGAGGAAAAAUAUUGUGCAACCUCACUGGAGUCAAUGAUUGACUAUAGCAUUUCCAAACUAGGGAAAGUUGAUCAGGCAGUCUCAACAGAAGUGGAAAAACAAACCCCAAUGCAAAAGUAUACAAUAGCAGCUGGAGUGCAGAAGAUGACAGAUGACAAAGCUGUAGUGUGCCACAAGCAGAAUUAUGCAUAUGCUGUCUUCUAUUGCCAUAAAUCAGAAACAACAAGGGCUUACAUGGUUCCUUUAGAGGGUGCUGACGGAACAAAAGCCAAAGCAGUAGCAGUCUGCCACACAGAUACAUCAGCAUGGAACCCUAAGCAUUUGGCUUUUCAAGUCCUAAAAGUUGAACCAGGAACCGUUCCUGUCUGCCAUUUCCUUCCUCGGGAUCACAUUGUUUGGGUCCCUAAGUAAAAAUCCUGAAGAGUAGAUUCAUACACUAUAAGUUUCAUCAUAGUGUGCAUUAAAACAGCUUAAAGCAAUAUCCAGUUUGUUCUAUAAUAAUAUACCCACGAGUUUAGUUAUGUGAAAUCUAUCCAUGAAUCAUGUUCUUGGUAAUGGAUAAAAUGAUAUUACUUUCUGUAUCACAAUGGUUUGGUGAUAAAUGUAUUAGUAUUUGAAGUAUCGUUGCAGACAUCGUAUGCCAAGUAACUUUGCGGACAUUAUGUUUCUCCAUUAGAUUACUAAUUCUCUUUCAUCUCAGAUUAGCCAUCUCCACAGAAAAAUUCUCAGAAGGUAAACUAUCAUGUUCAUCACUGGGUUGCAAUCAGAGAAGAAAUUGUUUUUCCUAUGUCCCAACAGCAGUAAAUUUUUGGACCAAUUUACAUGGUACAUAUGAGAAUUUUCUAUGUCAUGUAUUCGAAGGAUGCUAACUUAAUAUAGUAAGACCGGCAUUAAAAUCUUUUCAGAUAUAAGUAGGUUCCAAAGUACACAAAUUUGAGCACCUGUACUGAACAAACCAUUGUGUGCACUGUGCAGCCCUUCGCAUCUGAUUCCUCCACCACUGUGAUUAGCAGCUGCAGCGUCCUCACUGGCUAACCUAGGCCCUUGACAGACUUAUUCACCAGUGUUAAGUGUGCAGUUAAAUUUGAGAAAUAAUAUUUUAUUAAUUUAUGUUUCUUUGUCUUAAUUAAACUCUUAUUAGUCUUAUUAUUAUUUGACUUAUAAAUAGACUAUUUUACAACAUUAAAAAAUACACCAACUUUUAGAGAAUUUUGUGUUUAGCUUUUGGGGAUUUUUUUCGAGUUUUUUCAUCUUUUAUAUUCCUCAUUGUUUUGUCAUUAUAGUAUAAUUAUCUUUGCCAUUAUUUUUUAACUUCUUUGAAGAGUUUUUUCACGUUAAAUUUGCGUGUUCAAUUUAUUAAUUUUUUUAGCUAUUUUUAUGAUAAGUUAAAUAAUUAUACAUGAUGUUAGCUCCACGGAUCAUUUUAUUCCUGCAAUGUGGGAUCUAAUCUAAAUAUUUUGAUUUUUUUUAAAACAUCAACAGAGCUGAAUACUGCAUAACCACACACACAAAAAUCUACUACCAGCUACAACUUCUUAAAAUUAUAGUGAGUCAUUCGAUGUCAUCUUCGGAUAAACAACAUUCGAAUUGUGGAUAGCUUUCAAUAAGAAGUUCUCAAUUUUUUUCAUCUCAUCUUACUUGCAAAUAAGCACUUCUUUACAUUAAAAUAUUUGAAAGUGAAAAGAGAGAGAGAGAGUAAAAACUGCAUCAAAAACAACAAACAGUAAAACAAUUGGAGCCAAUGCUGUUACCGUAUGCUAGCCAUGAUAAAAAUCUCACUGAUAAUAGGUUUCAAUAAUCUCCCUUUCCUCAACCUUUACAAAGAUAAAAAAGACACCAUCGACUACUAUAAGCAGGGGCAAAACUGGCGCGGUUGCCCCUAAAAUGAAAAUUACUCUUUUAAAUUUUUAAAAUUUUAAAUUGAUAAAAGUAAAAUUACACUUUAACCCUUUAAAAUAAUAAAAUUUUGAUUUAAUCUUUUAAAAAUUAUAAAAAUAAACACUAUUAAAGUAGUGAAACUAUAAUUUCACUAUUCUAAAAUUCACAAUUUAAUUUCGACACCUCAACAAAUUUUUUGUCUUCAGAAUAUAACAUAACAACUAUGCAGUGUUGUAAUUUCUAUAGUACAACAACGGAAAACGAAAGCGAGCCAAAGUUGACUGUAACAAAAAUGAUAGCAAAGACGGAAAACGAAAACGAGCCAAAGUUGCGACUGUAACAAAAAUGAUAGCAAAGACAGAACAGGGAGAAUGACUGCGAGGCUAGGAUGGUGAUACGCAGCACUGGAA